CCUACGGGGUGCAGCAGUGAGGAAUAUUGGUCAAUGGACGAGAGUCUGAACCAGCCAAGUAGCGUGAAGGAUGACUGCCCUAUGGGUUGUAAACUUCUUUUAUAUGGGAAUAAAACGUUCCACGUGUGGGAUUUUGUAUGUACCAUAUGAAUAAGGAUCGGCUAACUCCGUGCCAGCAGCCGCGGUAAUACGGAGGAUCCGAGCGUUAUCCGGAUUUAUUGGGUUUAAAGGGAGCGUAGGUGGAAUGUUAAGUCAGUUGUGAAAGUUUGCGGCUCAACCGUAAAAUUGCAGUUGAAACUGGCAGUCUUGAGUACAGUAGAGGUGGGCGGAAUUCGUGGUGUAGCGGUGAAAUGCUUAGAUAUCACGAAGAACUCCGAUUGCGAAGGCAGUUCACUGGACUGCAACUGACACUGAGGCUCGAAAGUGUGGGUAUCAAACAGGAUUAGAUACCCUUGUAGUC
This 460-nucleotide ribosomal RNA is filed under the name uncultured bacterium. Its description in RNAcentral is "partial 16S ribosomal RNA". It matches the Rfam family "Bacterial small subunit ribosomal RNA", at positions 338 to 795 of the family's 1533-position model. The record is from RNAcentral.